UCCAAAAUACUUACCAUGUGAUUUCUUCAUUAUAUAUGUGUGAUAUUACAAACAGUUCUCCAGUGCCUUCCUGUGGGAAACAAGAAUUAUACAAAACAGCUGAAAAGUAUUGUUUGAUUUUAUGAUGGUUGAAGCAAGAAAAUGACUAAGUCAGACCCCACCUGGCCCCAGAGGCUCUUGGGGCAUCCUUGAGUCAUCCCUGUGCAGUAGGGUGCAGUCUAGUGUGGCACCCAGGCUUUGCUGUCCUUGGGUAACUUUUUAUAUUAUGCUUCCUCAUCCGUGGCCUGGGGUCUGCUAGUGCCCUCUCAGGACAGUGAUGAUGAGAAGUGAGAUAGUGGAAGAAAGUGCUUAGCACAGAAGGAGCCAUCCUUAUUCCAAUCAUCCUCCCCCUCUCCAUCAUUCCCCUUCCUAUAAAGCCCCUUCCUGAAACUGGCAGAAUGACAGAGGAACUUGGGUGAGAGAUGAAACUAGGCCUGAGGAGCCGUGAGAACCGACUUGGAAUGGGGACCUCUCUGGCCAAGACUACACCCCUGAGGCCCAGGCCUGUGUAAGAGGUGCCCUAAUUCUACUGCAAGAGGAAAUCCCAGAUCCCUGAGGGAUCACAGCCCAGGGGCAGCAUUUCCUUCAGUCCCUGUUCUGGAGGAGAGACAGCUUCAGAGGUCACUCAAAUGAGCAGCAGUACUCUCAUGGGUGAGAGUCUUGCCAGGAAAACCUCUCCUUUCGUUGUUCUUUGGGGUCUGUGUGAGAGUCAGUUGUGAUAGACACGGGCCUUGUCCAAGUGAUGUGUUACCCACCCAACGUUUAACCAUAAGAGCUAAGGAAGUCUGAAAUUGAGUCUUGUUUUUAGUUUAAUUAUUUUUAAAAUAAUGAACUAAACUUCUUAUUUCUUGCACAGCACAGUCAUCUCAGUUCAUUCAUUCAACAUGUGUGUGUGUGUAUGUGUGUGUGUGUGUGUGUGUCCUCCAUGUGAGUCAGCUUAGCACUGAACAUUCAGAAGGGAGCAAAGCCCACAGAAUCUCUGCCUUCAAGGCCCACAUGGUUCAGUGGAGCAAACAAGCAAUUAAUCAAGAGGACACAAAGUCGGGGGAAGGGACAUUCAGGCUGGGGCAGCAGCAACAGCAGCACAAAAUCUUGACUAAGGUGUCAGGAAAGUUUACACUAACCACAAAGGGCUCUGCCCCUGCCGUGGUCCAUCAGGGAAGCCUCCCCAGGGCCCAGCUUCCCUGCACACGUCAGGCAACCACUCGAGUCAGGUGACUGGGCAGCGGACAGUAUUCCUUCCAUGUUCAGCCCCUGAAGGGAGCCGGGAAACUUCCUUCCUCCUUCACCUCCAAAUUCUCACAAAGAUGACCAAGGGUUUUUGAGACAUAAUCUCUAGGGAACAAAGAGAAUAAUGACAAAUAUGAAAUAAAGUGGAAGAAGAGUAAGGUGUCAUGACUCACUGGGCCAUGUCCACACAUGGUGCUGAGAAUAAGCCACACAUGUCCAUCAAGCAUGGUGCUAAGAAUCUUUACAUGUAUAUAUUUCACUGUGUCAUUUAUUUCUCAUGACAAUUCCUUGAGGUUGGUAUAAUUGCUAUGUCAGUAAGAAAAGAAAUGAAAUAAAGAGUUCAUAAACCUACCUGAUGGCAGGUCUAGGAUUUGAACCCAAGAAACUAUAAUUGGUCAUUUGGUCAUUUCUUAUUAAGGGUAAUUAUUUUCCUUUUUCUUUUCCAGGAGUGAGAGACACUAUUAUUCCCAGAAAAGAGACUUUGGGUGGAAUAGAGAAGGAGAUCCUUGAGAAAAAGGAAGAGCAACCAGGGAUGCACAUGCACAGAAGGAUAGCUUUGUGAGGACACCAGGAGAAAGCAACUGCAUGUGCACCAGAGAAAGACCUCAGGGGACACCAACCCUGCUGCCACCUCUGUCUUGGACUUCCGAUUUCCAGAAAUGUGAGGAAAUAAAUUUCUGUUAUUUAAGCCA
Molecule: long non-coding RNA, 1961 nt
Organism: Ictidomys tridecemlineatus (thirteen-lined ground squirrel)
Lineage: Eukaryota; Metazoa; Chordata; Mammalia; Rodentia; Sciuridae
Source: RefSeq, a predicted model, not a curated record